GGGGGUGUAGCUCAGCUGGUUAGAGCGUCUGCCUGUCACGCAGAAGGUCGCGGGUUCGAGUCCCGUCACUCCCG
RNAcentral lists this transfer RNA (74 nucleotides) under Pseudolycoriella hygida. RNAcentral's name for it is "Bradysia hygida tRNA". It matches the Rfam family "tRNA". From Rfam's summary of the family: Transfer RNA (tRNA) molecules are approximately 80 nucleotides in length. The record is from Rfam by way of RNAcentral. RNAcentral also lists the same sequence under 3 other names. Lineage: Eukaryota; Metazoa; Arthropoda; Insecta; Diptera; Sciaridae.